AGUCGUAACAAGGUUUCCGUAGGUGAACCUGCGGAAGGAUCAUUAAAGUGUUUCGGAGCCUGGCUCGGGCAUCUCACCUCGAGGUGUCGGUGUCAGCGCCCCCACACGUGUUUACUCAACUUGGUUGCCUUGGUGAGCCUGCCCUUGUGGCUGCCGGGGAUGCCUCACGGUGUUCCGGGCGUGUGCUCACCAGUGGAUCAUUUGAACUCUUCUGUGAAAAUAGUCAGUCUGAGCAUUAUGCAAAUUAAAUAAAACUUUCAACAACGGAUCUCUUGGUUCCGGCAUCGAUGAAGAACGCAGCGAAAUGCGAUAAGUAAUGUGAAUUGCAGAAUUCCGUGAAUCAUCGAAUCUUUGAACGCACAUUGCGCCCUCUGGUAUUCCGGGGGGCAUGCCUGUUCGAGCGUCAUUGCAACCCCUCAAGCACGGCUUGUGUGAUGGGCCAUCGUCCCCCGUGGACGGGCCUGAAAUGCAGUGGCAGCACCGAGUCCUGGUGUCUGAGUGUAUGGGAAUCUCUAUCGCUCAAAGACCCAAUCGGCGCUGAUGUCAGAUUUUUAUCCAGUUUGACCUCGGAUCAGGUAGGAGUACCCGCUGAACUUAAGCAUAUCAAUAAGCGGAGGAAAAGAAACCAACAGGGAUUGCCUCAGUAACGGCGAGUGAAGCGGCA
Molecule: unclassified non-coding RNA, 664 nt
Filed under: Aphanoascus verrucosus
Lineage: Eukaryota; Fungi; Ascomycota; Eurotiomycetes; Onygenales; Onygenaceae
Description: sequence contains 18S rRNA gene, ITS1, 5.8S rRNA gene, ITS2, 28S rRNA gene
Rfam family: 5.8S ribosomal RNA (bases 253-406)
Source: RNAcentral